AACCCUCAAAGAUCCUUUUUGGACUUACUGAAAAGGAUUUUUGGACUUGGAGGUUUAAUGCUUGCCUUUCACCUUUGAAGGUGAGCUCCUCUCAAAUGAAUUAGCGGGGUCUGCUUUGCUCGAUCCUUGACGUGAUAAGAUGUUUCUACGUUUUGAAUUUUGGCACUGUUCCUUAGACACCUGCUUCUAACUGUCUCACAGACAAUGGAUGGUGCUUCGGUCCCUACUGCCUAACGUCGGUGGGAGGCUGGACCCACGAAUGAAAA
This 266-nucleotide unclassified non-coding RNA is filed under the name uncultured Russula. RNAcentral's name for it is "sequence contains ITS2". The record is from RNAcentral. Lineage: Eukaryota; Fungi; Basidiomycota; Agaricomycetes; Russulales; Russulaceae.